AAAGUCAGGCUAAUUCCUCACACACUCGUUGCUGUUCUCCAUCUGCUGACGGUUUUAUUUCUGUCUGAUGGAAAACAGAAAGGCAGGCAGCAGAUGGACACAGCAACCUUUCAGCUCAUCAGAAAAGCGGGUCAGAGUUUAAAAACACGUGUUUCAUACUGAAUUUGACACUUUGAUUUAUGGACACGUGACAGUGACACACUCAGCAGGUUUGUAUGGAUCUCAGUGUCACUGAUGUUCCUUCACUCUGUGGGGAGCACACAUUGAUGUAUUAGAAUAAACCUUCCUCCACGUUGCUGUUGGAGCCAAAGGUGAACAUAUUUAACUGACAUAAAUGCUUAUCAAUUAAAAACUGCAUUCUGUAUUUGCUCGUGACACCGGGGGCAGAGACAGACCCAUCUGCAUCCACAGACUGCACACGAGCAUCACACAGACUCCGGCUAAUUAGUGCUCAGUAACAUCCAAUUAAAAUUCAAGAAUGUCACUCACCAAAACUGGAGCUCAGACUUGUUGGAUGUUUGUUGGUAGCCUACAAUUAACUGCAACACAUCUCAUCUUAUUUUAGUCUCAGUGGUGGAUGUGACGCCCUGCAGGAGCUGCAAGUCACGGCAUUAAUCUUCCUUUAUUCAUCCUCAGAUAUUUACUGCUUCAGAUCUCCAUCAUGGUUUCCAAUAAAAUAUUUAAUAUUGUAUGAAUUUCUAACAGUGUCCUUGCUGAGUUGAACCUGAAACUCUGAUCUUCUUCUUGCUGUCACUUCCAGGUUCUGCAGUUUUGCCGUGUAGGCGGUGCUGUCACGUGUCAGGUAACAAUCAGGCUGCAGUUUGAUUUAUAUUCAUAUGAUAAAUCUGUAGCAUGAAAACGCCUCAGAGCAAACAGCAACAAUGGUGAUUGGUUGGUCUGCAUGAAUCAGGAUGUCAUCAUCGUGGACCGCUGUGUGGCAGGCAGGAAGUGAAGAUCCAGAACAAGGAAACUUUCAGCUUCUUCUGAUUGGUUUAAAUGAGCCUCACAGUGGCGCUGAUGGAGACGUCAUCUGGUACUGAGAUAGUCCAGCUCGUGGACCACCGUCGUGACCCUGCCGCCUCCAGAGGGCGGCGAGGCUUGAACGACAGUGGCCCGGAAUGGCCGUCAAACCUGAGCUGCCAUUCUUUGAAACACAAUAUAAACUUCCUGUGUUGAGGCAGCGCGGCGGGGCCUCGACACCCACGGCAAACUGGAGCGACAUGCUCACAUUACUGUUUCAGUAGACCUUUAAAUCCUUCAGCAGCGGCAGAGGACAGAACCGAGUGCAGAGAAAAGGCCGAGGAGGGAAGAUGGAUGUGACGGAUGAAAGGAAGUGCCUCUCCCUGCUGGGGCCCCUUCUGCUCUGAAACUGGCUCCUAUCACACGAUCUUUCCCACCACAGAAUCCUGCAUCCAGAGCUCAUUCAAAGACAAACUGCGU
This is a long non-coding RNA of Pundamilia nyererei, 1440 nucleotides long. RefSeq lists it as uncharacterized. The transcript is spliced from 3 exons. Lineage: Eukaryota; Metazoa; Chordata; Actinopteri; Cichliformes; Cichlidae. The record is from RefSeq and is a predicted model, not a curated record.